This 303-nucleotide unclassified non-coding RNA is filed under the name uncultured fungus. RNAcentral's name for it is "partial contains 5.8S ribosomal RNA, internal transcribed spacer 2, and large subunit ribosomal RNA". The stretch from base 1 to 52 matches the Rfam family "5.8S ribosomal RNA", at positions 103 to 154 of the family's 154-position model. Lineage: Eukaryota; Fungi. The record is from RNAcentral.
AACGCACCUUGCGCUCCUUGGUAUUCCGAGGAGCAUGCCUGUUUGAGUGUCAGUAAAUUCUCAACUCCUUCAGCUUUUGUUAGUUGAACGGGGCUUGGAUGUGGAGGUCGUGCGGGCCCUUCAAUGGGUCGGCUCCUCUGAAAUACAUUAGCGGAACCGUUUGCGAUCCGUACAGGUGUGAUAAUUAUCUACGCCUAGUGGGUUGCUUUCAGUGUUGUUCAGCUUCUAACCGUCCCCGCAAAGGACAAACUUCAUUACUGAACCUUUGACCUCAAAUCAGGUAGGACUACCCGCUGAACUUAA